GAAAAGACAAAAUUGAAACUUAAUUUUUAUCGGAACUAUAAGGUUUUCAGUUAUAAUAUUUCACAGGGUAGUGAGACAUUAGGUACCUAACAAUUUUCCAUUAAAAUCUCAAUUUCGAAAAAAAGCGACAUACGAUACUUUCGCGAAAAUGCGUCGACAUUUUCAAUGUGCUGCCCUGCCGAUCAUCACCAAGGACGUUUAAGCACGUUUCACCACAAAUUUAAUGAAAUCCUACUAAUUUAUAUGAUUUAACAGAUUCUAAAACACAAAAUAAUAAAAGUAAUCACAAGUUGACCCUCAGCUUCGUCACGUAAACAAACUCAAAACAAUUCGAUGGAAAAAUCACCCAAUGAGCCAUCGGUGCAGCCUGCUAACUGACCUUCACAAACGAGAUGGAACCG
Molecule: long non-coding RNA, 401 nt
Organism: Drosophila kikkawai
Lineage: Eukaryota; Metazoa; Arthropoda; Insecta; Diptera; Drosophilidae
Source: RefSeq, a predicted model, not a curated record